GUUAUUCACCAUUUGAUUGAUUAGUUACUGUACUGUCUUGCUGAAUGUUGGGUCAAUAUCUAGCAACAUUUUAGCUACUAAUGAAGGCUAUUAACAUUGUAGCAUGUAGCCUAAGUUUGUAGAUAUGUCUUCUGGUGUAGACCAAGCACCCACCAGUGACUAAUUGACUUAAGCAAACAUAAAUAACAGACUCUGUAAAGAC
Molecule: unclassified non-coding RNA, 202 nt
Filed under: Hevea brasiliensis (rubber tree)
Lineage: Eukaryota; Viridiplantae; Streptophyta; Magnoliopsida; Malpighiales; Euphorbiaceae
Source: RNAcentral